AGGGAAUCUUCCGCAAUGGACGAAAGUCUGACGGAGCAACGCCGCGUGAGUGAUGAAGGUUUUCGGAUCGUAAAGCUCUGUUGCCAGGGAAGAACGUCCGUUAGAGUAACUGCUAACGGAGUGACGGUACCUGAGAAGAAAGCCCCGGCUAACUACGUGCCAGCAGCCGCGGUAAUACGUAGGGGGCGAGCGUUGUCCGGAAUUAUUGGGCGUAAAGCGCGCGCAGGCGGCUGUUUAAGUCUGGUGUUUAAUCCUGGGGCUCAACCCCGGGUCGCACUGGAAACUGGGCAGCUUGAGUGCAGAAGAGGAGAGUGGAAUUCCACGUGUAGCGGUGAAAUGCGUAGAGAUGUGGAGGAACACCAGUGGCGAAGGCGACUCUCUGGGCUGUAACUGACGCUGAAGCACGAAAGCAUGGGUAGCAAAC
This 424-nucleotide ribosomal RNA is filed under the name uncultured bacterium. Its description in RNAcentral is "bacterial SSU rRNA". It matches the Rfam family "Bacterial small subunit ribosomal RNA", at positions 356 to 773 of the family's 1533-position model. The record is from RNAcentral.